This is an RNA transcript of Nicotiana attenuata, 6842 nucleotides long. It is a transcript of the gene named protein piccolo-like, with no coding region annotated. The record is from RefSeq and is a predicted model, not a curated record. Lineage: Eukaryota; Viridiplantae; Streptophyta; Magnoliopsida; Solanales; Solanaceae. The transcript is spliced from 8 exons.
UUGACGAGCUUGGAGUUUGCACCUAGGGAGCAACUUUCAUCUACCAGAGGAGGCAACCAUAAAUACAUUGGAUGCGUUGUGGGAACUGACUUUGUACUCCUGAUUUGAUAUGGGUUUUGAUAUUGAAUGCAUAGUUGACAUCCAUACCUAUCCUGGGGAGUAUUUCUGUCCUGUUUGUCGCACUCUUGUCUUCCCUAAUGAAGCCCUCCAAUCACAGUGCACUCAUCUCUACUGCAAACCUUGUCUGGCCCAUGUUGCCAAUGGAAGCCGGGCCUGUCCCUAUGAUGGAUACUUGGUGACUGAAGCAGACUCUAAACCCCUUAUCGAGUCAGACAAGACGCUUGCUGAAAGCAUAGGCAAAGUUAAAGUGCGUUGUCUCUAUCACAGAAGUGGAUGCACAUGGGAAGGUCCCUUGUCUGAAUGCACUUCCCAUUGUUCUGGCUGUUCCUUUGGGAAUUCUCCAGUUAUAUGCAAUAGAUGUGGAGUCCAGAUUGUGCAUCGACAAGUGCAUGAACAUGCUCAGAGUUGUCCUGGUGUAUAUCCUGCACAACAGGCAGCUAAUGGUGCCCAAGAUAAUCCUAGCUCUGGAGCAGCUGCCACUGCUGCUGGUGAUGACUCGAAUCAAACUACAACUCAUUCAGGAACUCCAGCUUCUCAAACACCAAAUCCUCAAAGCACUACUGCUUCCCUGCUUAAUGGACAAGAUCGUAAUCAGCAGACAAGUGCCAGCUCUCAGGCUCCUGCUACAGCUUCAGCUGGUGUGCCUACUUCAGAUCAGUGGUAUCAGCAACAAUAUCAACAGUAUUUUCAGCAAUAUGCUGGAUAUGAUCCUUAUCAACAGCAAACUUAUCAACAAUACUAUCCCUAUCAGCAACAACCCGUCCAACAAUAUCAGCAACAACCCGUCCAACAAUAUCAGCAACAACCUCCAAUUUACAUGCAGCCACCAGCACAACCCCAGACCCCAAUCCCAGGACAGCCUCAAUCCCAGCCCCAGCCGCAACCAUUGAAUCCUCAACCUCACCCUCAAAUGCAAGCUCUACCUAAAGGGCCAACUCAACCACAGGUUCAAGCUGUGGCUCAGCAACAUCAAAACCAGGUUCAAGUCAACCCACAGCAGCAGCUUCCACCAACUGGGCAGUCUCAUACCCAAAUUCCAUCACAAAUAUUUCCAGCUUCUCAUGCUCAGCCACCUACUCAGCCUCCGCCAUAUCCUCAGCCCUAUCCGAUGCAAUCUCAUUCACAACACCAUGUGCAGGUGCCACAGUAUCAGCAGCAUCCUGCCCAGGUUCACCCUCCCCAGUCUUCUCAAGCCCAACCGCAACCUCAUUCACAACUUCAACCGCAGAUAAGUGUUCAACAUCAUCAACAAUCUCAUGGCCAAUUGCGCCCCCCUCAGGCUGGCCAAGCUGCUCAUGGACAGACUCAGACCCUCCAUUCAACAGUCAAUGCUGUUUCAGGGUACAAUUCCUAUCCACAACCCCAGCCCAUGCAGCAAAUGCCUAUAGGGUUUACACAGCAAACUCCAAUACGUCCACAUCCUACUAGUGGGCCUAUUCCUCCAGUUCAAACUCAUAGUCAGGUUCCUCAACAACCUCCUUUGCGCACCAAUCAGCAAUGGGGCUUGGUACCUUCUCAAGGUCAAACUCCUGCACAGUCUCAACUUUAUCCUGCUCCGCAAGCAGGGCAUUUAAUUCAGCAACAUCCUGUUCAGCCUAAUCAACAACCAAUGUCUCAGCAAUACAGUCAACAGCAGGCAUUUCCUGGUCCAUUGCAGAGUCAGUCACACCAACAGGGUCAUCUUACUCACCAGCAGCCUUUGCAGUCUCAGUUUCGCCCGCAAGGUCUUCCUAAUGUGGUGCCUCAGAGUACACACACUUAUAUCCAACCACAGCAAAAUGUUUCCUUACCACCUCCCCCACAGCUUCAACAAUCUCAAACAUAUAUAGGAAGACCUGGGAUGCAAAAUCAUGUCCAGGGAAUUUCUCAGGCCCAUGGUGGGUAUAAUACUGCACCCCAGGUCAGAUCUGUCCAGCCCGCUUUAAGCCAACCACAACUGAAUCCAAGUUAUGGGAACAACAUGAGCAAUGAGCUUGAGUCUAUGGAUCAGAAGAAACGUUCAGCCCUAGAAAGCCAUGGUGAUCAGUUACCUGACAAAACCGGAAGGCCAGAAGUGGGAGUUCCUUUCCAGGAUAAUGCUCAAAAUGAUCUAAUUUCCUCUGCAGCCAAAUCAACUGAUGCAAUGGCCCCAAGAUUUGAAGCUGACUUAAACGAUGAACAACAGAAGCUUAAGAAAACUGCUGAUGAGUAUAGACAGAGGGCCAGCAGUGAUAUACAUGCUCAUAAGGGUGAUUCGGACGAGCUUAUGGACAAAAGAACUGUUAAGGAAGAGGGGAAUGAGAAUUCUUUGGAGCCUAGAUCUGCUAACAAAUCAGCUGAUGUAACAGUUAAAGCAGAGAAAGAUGCCUAUGAUGAUGCUCCAAAAGAACUGGACAAGUGUUUGGCAAACCAUGCAUCAUCUGAUGCUGCUGAUGGUUCAAUUAAGAAUCUGAACCCUGGAAGAAAUUCACAUGACGUUGCCAUUGACAGAGGGGGUUUUCAGCGGUAUGGGCAUGAGAUGCCACCACCAAACUCUGGACCAUCUUCUCAACAAAGGCCUUUUGGUCCUAUGAUAAUACCACCAAUGCCACCUCCAGGCUGUGCUCCUCAUGCCCAAGUUCCCAGAUAUUCCACUGCAAUGAUGCCUUCCGGGGAUGUGCCCCAGUCUUGUCAGCCAUUGAAUUCUCGUGAUCAUCAUCCACAAUUCCUGAAGCAGCCUAGUAAUGCCUCCGUUGGUGCUAUACCUGGUCCAGGAUCUACAACACUCUUUGGUAGAGGGCCUGGUCAUUUUCCUCCAGCAGGUGAUUACCGAGAGGGGAUAACGGGAAUGGGAAGAGCACCAUUAAGUGGUCCUGAAAUUCCCAGUGGAACACAACACUCGGUUAAUCCAGCAGAAUCUGAAAUGUUUCAAAAUCAAAGUAAUCGUUUUGAUGGAAAUCAACCAAACCUGUUUCCGCCAGGGUCUUUUGAAAAGGUUCCAUUUGGCCAAUCUAGAAGUAUGGAAUCAGCUAGGAAUAAAAGGUUGAAGGCGCCUGUGGGAGAGCAUUUAAGUCCUUUACCAGUGCCUCAUGAUCAAGCAUCACGGCCACUUGACAAGCCACCUCGCGGAUUAGUAUAUGAUUCUGGAUCAAAAUUGGAGGUCAGUGCUGGGGUUCCACCUAACAGAUUAUUGCCACCAUAUCAUCCUCCUGGUUCGAUGCAUUUCAAGGACAGUGGAGAAAGAGAAGCACCACUUGGUCCUCAUGAUGAUGAUAGAAAAAGGGCAGGACCUGGGUUUGGUGUGCAUCAUAUGGGUUAUUUGUCUGCCCGAAAUCCUGAUGGGGAGGUCUUUAACAUUCCACCGCGCAGAUUUCGAAGUCACUCAGGUUUUGAAGAUAUUGGUGGCAGAGAGCCCCGCCAAUUUAUUGAAGGGCCUAAACCUUUAAAUUUUCCUUCCAAUGUAGCUGGUGGUUUAUUCUCUGAUGGUAGGUUCCAACCUUUGCCUGGCCACUCACAUGGGCUCGAGGUUGAUGGUCAUGGGGACUUGAGAGGUACCGAGCAUACUACCUUUAUUCGUCCUUACAACCAUGUCCAUAGUGGUGAUAUGUUUGGAAAAGACGCUCCGAAUCAUUUGCAUCAUCUUGAGCCUUUGGAUCCUCAGAAAUUACCAAGUCAUUUACGUUUUGCUGAACCUGCUGGCUUUGGUACCUUUGCUGGCCGUGCUUAUAGGGGGGAGUUGUCAGGGCCUGGUGAUUUUCCUGGUUUUGGUGAACCAGUUGGACGCUACACACCUGGUAUACCACGGUUUGGGGAGCCUGGAUUUAGGAGCAGGUAUCCUGUCCCAGGAUUUCCAAACGAUGGACUUUAUGCGGGUGAUAUGGAUUCCUUUGAUAGACCAAGAAAGAGGAAGCCCGUGAGCAUGGGCUGGUGCCGCAUUUGCAAGGUUGAUUGUGAAACUGUUGAGGGCCUAGAUAUGCAUUCACAGACAAGAGAGCACCAGGAUAUGGCUAUGGAUAUGGUCAGGACUAUCAAGGAGCAAAACCGAAAAAAACAGAAGACUUUUAGUGAUCGUGCUGCAGUUGAAGAGAAAGGCAAGCCUAGAAAGGCAGUGUUCGAGGGCCGUGGUAGAAAAGCAUGAGCCUGGGAUGGUAAACAGGAAGUAGAAGGCAGUGGUUGAUGGUUGUUACUAAGCUCUCAAUCGGGCGUUUGCAUUGCAAUGUAGGUGCUAAUUACAGUGUCUUUCUUCCUUUUCUGGGGGGUUUUUAUCCUAGCUUUGUCAUUUCAGGUUGCUGCCCUGUUGUUGGAGAUGGUUUUGGAUUGGAAGUUUCUGUGGCAAUCUUUUCCAUUCAACUUGUCUUUUUUGGGCGAGGCAGAAGAGAUAAAAGGUUGACUCUUCAGCAGAACAGUUUACCUGCAACUUUUUCGGUGGUAAGGAUAUGCUUGAUGUAUAAAACUUGUUUAUCAGCAUAUAUAGUGUUUUGUUGGUUGAAUUGGUAAUCUGCUGGAUCAUAUUCUUUUCUUUAGCCUCCUUUAACAUUCUUAGACAUCUGUUUAUUAAAUUCUCUUGUAGUUGAGUAAUUAUUUGGAAGUAUUUUUAGCUGUGCUCUAUUUUGGAGUUUAGGUAUUAGCUGCUACACUCAAGGGUGCCUUAGUGUUUUUGUCUCAUGCAGUGUGCAUGUGGGAGCUUCUAUGUGGAAGCUGACAUUUCUCAGUGUCCACCCUCUCUGAGGUUUGUAGAUUCUUUUUAAAAUAAAAAAAAAUAAAAAUUAUGAUUCGGUGAUUAUCCUAUUAUGACUAGUGUAGGCAUCAUUGUUUGAAUGUUGGUCGUUGCUUAAUAAGUGUUUAGAUUCUUUUUGGUACAAACAUAAUCCCAUUAGUUGUGAAUUCAACAAGUGCCCCUUUGCGUGCAGCAUUUGUGUUUUCAAUAGGAACAUGAUAUUUUAAGAGAAAUCUUGAUUGGUUGUGUCUCAUCAACGUUAUAACAUAGAUUGAUUGUGUAUAGCUGGAAAUUCACCGGCAAACUUGGCUGUAAACAGGCAUAUUUAUGGCAUAAUUUGAAGCAACUAAAAUUGAUGCUUGCUUCACAAAAAAUCCACUCGGUGCGGCAGUCUAAAUGUCACAAGGCAUUUUUGAGCUUUUGCUAUGUAGUAUGUUGCUUUUCAGAGGCUGCUGGUGCUAGGGCUUAUAGCUACUGGUAUGAUUAUAGGAAAUAUAUGAGAUCCAUCUAUCCUUGGUCACGUGAUGUAGUUGACUAUAAAUUAAAGAGAUGUUCAAAAUUUAGGUUCCCUUUCGUUGAUCCAUUUUAAAUUUGACUCAAAAUUGAUUACCUGAUAUCAGUGUCCUUUUGACCACAGGAAGAUUCAAACUCCAUGGAUUGCCAAUGAUACAUUAUUACUAUAAUAACUAGCUUCCGAUGAAAAUAAAUUACAAAUUGCGUAGAUGUAUAUUUUAUGAUAGUUGCACAUCAUCUAGGUUGUAUGGAUGCCAAGUACUAUUUAGUAGUAGAUGUAUGUAUCCAAAUCCAUUGCGUCCAUGUUGAUGCUAUAAGAGUUCAGAAUUCACUGGUGUUAUUAAGGCAUCGUUUGGUUCCUCAUAUGGCUGUUUGACUCUAGAUUGUUCAGAUUUCAGCACACUUAAGUGCAUGUUUUUCUUUUAUAAUCAUUUUUCUGAACUGGUCCGGUUCAUAACUGAUGUACAGUGUUUUGAAAUUACUAAGCAUUGAUCACUAUAAAUAUUCCGUUCAUAAAUGUUAUACAAAGUUUUGAAAUUAUUAAGACAUCGAUCACUUCAAAAGUUCAUGUUAAUGUGAUCUUAUAUGAUUCCAUUACUAAUGGCUAGUUCAAUCCAACCUCCAUGGCACAGCUGUCAGUGCUACUCACAACCACUGACCGUAUACACGUGAGGCAUUACAACACUCCUACAAUUGCAUAACUACCAUUGCGACCUUUACUAUCUCAAUGUUGAGCUAUUAGCUUUUUGACCGUGCCUCAGCAAAUAAAUAGUUUAUGUUUAUGAUUUUCUUUAAUAUUUUGGAGAUUAUGCAAGUAUCAUUUUGUUGAAUAAUAUUUUAUUAAUUUGGGAGUUGAAAUAAAUUUAAAGAGUCAGAUGUUGAGACAAGUAGAGUUAAACUUUUUGUGUUCGUAAGUAUAGGUAAUAUAAUACUACUCAGAUACAUAUUUCAUGUUCCGACUUUUACAAUUUAAAAAAAAGGGGUUUUAGAAUUUCUUGAACAUAGUUGUACGGAUAUUGAUAUGAUAUAUGGGUUCUUACGAUCUGUAGUGGUUGUUGCAUUCAAGUUUUAGCUUUUGAGGAAAGUGGAUCUAGGACGCGCUAGGUACAAAAUGAUCUUUCUCAUACAAUAUAGGGAGUAUUGGAUGAUAAACCGGCGACAUGUCUCCUCUCAAAGAGUGGCUUUAAUCAUUGGAAAUAAUGGCUAGAAGGACCAAGUUCGAGAUGAUUGAAUGCUUUGUAUCUGCUGCACUACAUGAAGAUGUGACAGAUCGUUCAAAGUUGAUGAUCAAGAGCUUAAAAUCCCGCUUAACUGGGGUGCAUUUGACUUGGUGUGGUGUGUAUGUUUGCUUCGUUUGGAUGCUUGUCUCAUGGACCUUGGUCAUUAGUAGUUGCAGUUUGAUCGUGAAUCGUCAUAGUGUUAGCUGAGUUGUGUGCUGAUGGUGAAACUUUUGGUCUUCACUUUAAGAGCAUGUUUGGAAGGAUAACUCGUAAUACAUUUAUUCAUUUGUCAUAAUGUAAUUAUUAUGUAAGUC